AAACACUUCUGUAUGACUCGGAACAAGUUUAUUUGCAAUCAGACAUGGCAUGCAAUCAUGCAGGACCACCGCUACAGCCGAACAGCCGAGGCUAAGAGACAUGGGGACAAAGAAGCCCUACGCAUUCGGGAUAUUUCCAGACCUGAGCUCCACACUGAGCCGCGGUCUUCUAAAGAGAGAUUCCCACAGAUUUAAAAAAAAAAAAAAAAGAAACCAUACACACUUUUAUCAUAUUUACAAAAAAAUAUUUAAUUAAAAAUAUUUUAUAAUUACAGUAGUCUAUUAAAGCAUAUACUUUUCUCACACUUAUAGAACAUCUCUCUAUGUACACGGUAUGAAAUGUCACUCGUUUCUCUGUACAGUAUGCAACAUUCCUGCAGGGAGAAGAAAGUUCCCGGGCCCCAUAAGCCAUCUAUUUUAAACAAUAGACGAGGUCUAUCUAUACGCGCUCCGGAGGUCGGCAGCGCUGCGCGGUGGAGCCGUGCUCGUCCCUCCGUCGCACUCGGUCCCGGGGCAGAGCCGCCGCUCCUCCUGUUCGGUCCGACCCCACCGCCACCACCGCGGGGAGAGAAGAGCAGCGGGGCCGGGGCGGCGCGCACGGGGAGACGGGGCCGGCCGGAGCCUGGGAGCGGCUCAGGCCGGGCAUCGCCCCGCCCGCCCCCCGCCGCGCACCUGGGUAGCGGCGCUCAGCGGCAGAGGAUGCUGUCCCCCGGCUUGUUAACAGAGCCAGCCGGGUCGGUGUUGAGGGCCGUCAGCGGGGUGCGCGGGGUGCCCGCGGGACAACCGCCCGGGUGCAGGGUUGGCGGCGGCUGCCGGAGCAGCGCCGGGUGCGUCUCCAGAGCCAGCUGCAGGUCGAGGAUGUAGUCGAUGACGUGCUGCAGGAUCUCCACUUUGCUGACCCGCUUGUUGGGCGGGAUGGUGGGCACCAGCCUCCUCAGCCGGCUGUAACAGUCAUUCAUAUCGCACUGCAGACACAGGGCCGCCGGCUCCUCGCCCCCUUUGCAGCCGCUGUGCUCGGCCAGGCACCGCAGCGCCGGAUGCCCGCCGCCGCCGCCCGCCCCGGCGGGCUGCGCCCUGCGCCCGGGGUGCCGGACGGGGCUCACGGCUUUCAUGGUGCCGCGGGCACGGAGAGAGACCGGGACCUCCCCCGCCACCUCCUCCCGCGACCUCGGGCACGCGCCGCCCGCCCGCCGCCACGCAACGCGAGCGGGGCACGGCCGCGGCCUCUCGCUGCUCACUGACGGGGUCCUCCCCACGGGGAUGCGGCGAGGACAAGCGCUACGGCAAGCCCGUCCCGCCCGACCGCUCAGCCACCGCC
Molecule: long non-coding RNA, 1318 nt
Filed under: Gallus gallus (chicken)
Lineage: Eukaryota; Metazoa; Chordata; Aves; Galliformes; Phasianidae
Source: RNAcentral